Molecule: long non-coding RNA, 100 nt
Organism: Octopus sinensis (East Asian common octopus)
Lineage: Eukaryota; Metazoa; Mollusca; Cephalopoda; Octopoda; Octopodidae
Exons: 3
Source: RefSeq, a predicted model, not a curated record
UUAUUCUAUUGGGAAUUUGGUGUUUGUAAUAUAACUUAACAAAAGGUUCUUUUCAUAAUUAUGAUGGGAGGUUUUAAUUUAAAUAUAAAUUCUUUAAAAG